Molecule: ribosomal RNA, 334 nt
Filed under: uncultured bacterium
Lineage: Bacteria
Description: bacterial SSU rRNA
Rfam family: Bacterial small subunit ribosomal RNA
Source: RNAcentral
GCUCAGGACGAACGCUGGCGGCGUGCCUAACACAUGCAAGUCGAGCGAUGAACCCUUCGGGGGGAUUAGCGGCGGACGGGUGAGUAACACGUGGGUAACCUGCCUCAAAGAGGGGGAUAGCCUCCCGAAAGGGAGAUUAAUACCGCAUAACAUCAAAUUAUCGCAUGGUAGUUUGAUCAAAGCAGUAAUGCACUUUGAGAUGGACCCGCGGCGCAUUAGCUAGUUGGUGAGGUAACGGCUCACCAAGGCGACGAUGCGUAGCCGACCUGAGAGGGUGAUCGGCCACAUUGGAACUGAGACACGGUCCAGACUCCUACGGGGGGCAGCAGUGGGG